This 834-nucleotide ribosomal RNA is filed under the name uncultured Actinomycetes bacterium. RNAcentral's name for it is "bacterial SSU rRNA". It matches the Rfam family "Bacterial small subunit ribosomal RNA", at positions 54 to 866 of the family's 1533-position model. Lineage: Bacteria; Bacillati; Actinomycetota; Actinomycetes. The record is from RNAcentral.
CAUGCAAGUCGAACGAGAAAGUGACUUCGGUCACUGGAAAGUGGCGUCCGGGUGAGUAACACGUGGGUAAUCUACCCUCGGGUGGGGAAUAACGGAUCGAAAGAUUCGCUAAUACCGCAUAAUGCAGCGGCACCUAAUGGUGAAUAGUUGUUAAAGCGGGGGAUCGCAAGACCUCGCGCCUGAAGAGGAGCCUGCGGCAGAUUAGCUAGUUGGUGAGGUAAUGGCUCACCAAGGCUACGAUCUGUAGCUGGUCUGAGAGGACGGCCAGCCACACUGGCACUGACACACGGGCCAGACUCCUACGGGAGGCAGCAGUGGGGAAUUUUGGGCAAUGGGCGAAAGCCUGACCCAGCAACGCCGCGUGAGGGAGGAAAUCCUUCGGGAUGUAAACCUCGCAAGCAAGGGAAGAAUGCCCGAGACUUAAUACGUUUCGGGAGGGACGGUACCUUGCGUAAGCCACGGCUAACUACGUGCCAGCAGCCGCGGUAAUACGUAGGUGGCAAGCGUUGUUCGGAAUUAUUGGGCGUAAAGGGCGCGUAGGCGGUUUGUUAAGUCGGUCGUGAAAGCCCGGGGCUCAACCCCGGAGGGUCGACCGAUACUGGCAGGCUAGAGUACAGAAGAGGUAGCUGGAAUUCCCGGUGUAGCGGUGAAAUGCGUAGAUAUCGGGAGGAACACCUGAGGCGAAGGCGGGCUACUGGGCUGAUACUGACGCUGAGGCGCGAAAGCUAGGGGAGCAAACGGGAUUAGAUACCCCGGUAGUCCUAGCCCUAAACGAUGGAUACUUGGUGUGUUGGGUAUUUAAGUCCCAGCGUGCCGGAGCUAACGCGUUAAGUA